Molecule: ribosomal RNA, 460 nt
Filed under: uncultured bacterium
Lineage: Bacteria
Description: partial 16S ribosomal RNA
Rfam family: Bacterial small subunit ribosomal RNA
Source: RNAcentral
CCUACGGGUGGCAGCAGUGAGGAAUAUUGGUCAAUGGGCUUACGCCUGAACCAGCCAAGUCGCGUGAGGGAAGACUGCCCUAUGGGUUGUAAACCUCUUUUGUCAGGGAGCAACGCCGACUACGUGUAGCCGGACUGAGAUUACCUGAAGAAAAAGCAUCGGCUAACUCCUUGCAGGCAGCCGCGGGAAUACGGAGGAUGCGAGCGUUACACGGAUUUAUUGGGUUGAAAGGGUGCGUAGGCGGAAUGCCAAGUCAGCGGUAAAGUCGCGGGGUUCAACCUCGCUCCGCCGUUGAAACUGGCGUUCUUGAGUGGGCGAGAGGUAAGCGGAAUGCGUGGUGUAGCGGUGAAAUGCAUAGAUAUCACGAAGAACACCGAUGGCGAAGGCAGCAUACCGGCGCCCAACUGACGCUGAGGCACGAAAGCGUGGGUAUCGAACAGGAUUAGAUACCCGGGUAGUC